CAUCUGCGCUGUUCUCACUCAGGUUUUUGCAUUAUUUAUUUAAAUAUUUUAAGAAUCAGUCCCCUGCGUUUGGCUCCUUCACCACCACUUCCUGGCAACAGCACAAUACCAUUUUUCCAUGUUUUUUCUCCUUACUGUUAUUGCUAGAAUUGUGAUAGGGCAGCAAAAAUGGACUAAUACUUGCCUCAAAAGGAGAACUAAAGAACAUUGCUUUACAAUGUGCAUGCGGCUGGCCCUGCACAGGUAG
Molecule: long non-coding RNA, 247 nt
Filed under: Oryzias javanicus (javanese ricefish)
Lineage: Eukaryota; Metazoa; Chordata; Actinopteri; Beloniformes; Adrianichthyidae
Description: lncRNA (ENSOJAG00000021929.1)
Source: RNAcentral